Molecule: ribosomal RNA, 226 nt
Filed under: uncultured bacterium
Lineage: Bacteria
Description: partial 16S ribosomal RNA
Rfam family: Bacterial small subunit ribosomal RNA
Source: RNAcentral
GGAUAAUCUACCCGACAUCAGGGAUAACAUUUCGAAAGAAUGCUAAUACCUGAUAAGCCUACGCCCUCCUCGGAGGAAGUAGGAAAAGGUGGGGACCUUCGGGCCUGCCGUUGUGGAUGAGUCCGCGGCCCAUUAGCUAGUUGGUAGGGUAAUGGCCUACCAAGGCUACGAUGGGUAGCUGGUCUGAGAGGAUGAUCAGCCACACUGGAACUGAGACACGGUCCAG